Molecule: long non-coding RNA, 1107 nt
Organism: Ruditapes philippinarum (Manila clam)
Lineage: Eukaryota; Metazoa; Mollusca; Bivalvia; Venerida; Veneridae
Exons: 2
Source: RefSeq, a predicted model, not a curated record
AUGUAUCCUAGGUCCAGAUUGGAGAUGAAGCAAAGGUUGAUGUCAACAGUAAAUUAAAACAGUUGAUUAAGGAGAUGGCUACAUAUAUGGUAACCUGUACUACAAAAGGCUUAUAUGGAAGUAUACUGGUCAAAAAGUUACAUUGAUGGUCUCAAACCAUUUAUUUUGGAGUGUAUAUUCAUUUCUUGGAUGAUGAUAGUCCAGUCACCACCCAUGGCACUGCACACUUGCGAAACUGGGUCAAGGUUUGACAAAAACUUCUACAGGGAAUACAUGACUUCCGGUCGUCUAGUCAGUUAUAUGGUAUGGCCGGCACUAUUAUUGGAUGAAGGUGGAGCUUUAGUUUGUAAAGGUGUUGCAGAAGGCACAAAAGUUCGAAUGGAGAAGAAGUGAUUGGUUGUUUCCUUUGUGUACGUAUUUAAGAGCAAGAUGCAUGAAGAACCUACAUAGAUAUACAUUCAGAAAAUGAUGCUUAUUCCAUAAAAUAUAUGAGUUUAGUUGUUAAACGCCAUGUCGUUUAGUGAUUGUAUUGUUUGUUCUGUUAUUAUAAAACAUUUCCGUCAUAGAUUUGACAAAACUUGACUCCUGUGCCCUUUGACUUUAUGGACCUACUGGUUAUUGUUGCUGGUUCGUGUGGGGGUAGCGUUCAUUGAACGCCGCCUUUCCUUGUUGAUCUUGUUUAUCAUAUUUAACUGAGAAGAAAACCUAGAAAUACAAACAGUAGAAUAAGAAACCAGAAAACAUGUAUUUCUUUCAUAUGACAAUUUAUUUAUAGUCGACUGGAAAACUAUUAAUAUUUUGAUUUAUACGCAUCUGAUUUGUAUUUCUUCAUUGUUUGAACCAUUAAAGGUGUUUUCUUGUAAUAAGCUGUACAGCCACACAGCCAUGUUUCAUCACACAAAAUCGUACUGAUAAGUUCCAGAAAACGGAAUCGAUAUUGGUUUUUAUUAGAUUUUUUAUUAUAUUGUAUCAUUUAUUUGGUUAUACUGUACAGUACUUUUGAACGUGCCAAUGUGCAUGAAAAAAGUGCGUAAGAAGUUUGGUAUAUAAUAAUAAUAAUAAUAAUUGUUAUAAUUAUGUUUGCAACAUAAAUGUUUAACUUUGUUA